UGUGGCCAAGUUUUUAAGGGCGCACGGUGGAUGCCUUGGCACCAGGAACCGAUGAAGGACGUGGGAGGCCACGAUAGUCCCCGGGGAGUCGUCAACCAGGCUUUGAUCCGGGGGUUUCCGAAUGGGGAAACCCGGCAGUCGUCAUGGGCUGUCACCCGCUGCUGAACACAUAGGCAGUGUGGAGGGAACGAGGGGAAGUGAAACAUCUCAGUACCCUCAGGAAGAGAAAACAACCGUGAUUCCGGGAGUAGUGGCGAGCGAAACCGGAUGAGGCCAAACCGUAUGCGUGUGAGACCCGGCAGGGGUUGCGUGUACGGGGUUGUGGGAUCUCUCUUCUGCGGUCUGCCGGCCGUAGGGCGAGUUAUAAACCGUUGAUGUAGACGAAGGACAUGCGAAAGGUCCGGCGUAGAGGGUAAGACCCCCGUAGUCGAAAUGUCAGCGGCUUGCUUGAGAGACACCCAAGUAGCACGGGGCCCGAGAAAUCCCGUGUGAAUCUGGCGGGACCACCCGCUAAGCCUAAAUAUUCCCUGGUGACCGAUAGCGGAUAGUACCGUGAGGGAAUGGUGAAAAGUACCCCGGGAGGGGAGUGAAAUAGUACCUGAAACCGUGUGCCUACAAGCCGUGGGAGCGUCGGAAUGUGCUUGCACAUUCUCGUGACUGCGUGCCUUUUGAAGAAUGAGCCUGCGAGUUUGCGGUGUGUUGCGAGGUUAACCCGUGUGGGGAAGCCGUAGCGAAAGCGAGUCCGAACAGGGCGAUUCAGUAGCACGCUCAAGACCCGAAGCGGAGUGAUCUAGCCAUGGGCAGGUUGAAGCGGAGGUAAGACUUCGUGGAGGACCGAACCCACCAGGGUUGAAAACCUGGGGGAUGACCUGUGGUUAGGGGUGAAAGGCCAAUCAAACUCCGUGAUAGCUGGUUCUCCCCGAAAUGCAUUUAGGUGCAGCGUCGUGUGUUUCUUGCCGGAGGUAGAGCACUGGAUAGGCGAUGGGCCCUACCGGGUUACUGACCUUAGCCAAACUCCGAAUGCCGGUAAGUGAGAGCACGGCAGUGAGACUGUGGGGGAUAAGCUCCAUGGUCGAGAGGGAAACAGCCCAGAGCAUCGACUAAGGCCCCUAAGCGUACGCUAAGUGGGAAAGGAUGUGGAGUCGCACAGACAACCAGGAGGUUGGCUUAGAAGCAGCCACCCUUGAAAGAGUGCGUAAUAGCUCACUGGUCUAGUGAUUCCGCGCCGACAAUGUAGCGGGGCUCAAGCGUACCGCCGAAGUCGUGUCAUUGCAGCAAUAGCCCCAACGGGUGCUGUGAUGGGUAGGGGAGCGUCGUCUGCCGGGUGAAGCAGCACCGGAAGGUAGUUGUGGACGGUUGACGAGUGAGAAUGCAGGCAUGAGUAGCGAUACACACGUGAGAAACGUGUGCGCCGAUUGACUAAGGGUUCCUGGGUCAAGCUGAUCUGCCCAGGGUAAGUCGGGACCUAAGGCGAGGCCGACAGGCGUAGUCGAUGGAUAACCGGUUGAUAUUCCGGUACCCGCUGUGAAGCGUCAAACAUCGAGCAUCGUGAUGCUAAGGCCGUGAAGCCGCCCUGAUCUCUUCGGAGUUGAGGGGAGUGGUGGAGCCGCUGAACCAAGCGGUUAGUAGGUGAGUGAUGGGGUGACGCAGGAAGGUAGUCCAUCCCGGGCGGUGGUUGUCCCGGGGUAAGGGUGUA
Molecule: ribosomal RNA, 1696 nt
Filed under: Streptomyces sp. LamerLS-31b
Lineage: Bacteria; Bacillati; Actinomycetota; Actinomycetes; Kitasatosporales; Streptomycetaceae
Description: bacterial LSU rRNA
Rfam family: Bacterial large subunit ribosomal RNA
Source: RNAcentral